This 2430-nucleotide ribosomal RNA is filed under the name Escherichia coli. RNAcentral describes it as "partial 23S ribosomal RNA". It matches the Rfam family "Bacterial large subunit ribosomal RNA", at positions 418 to 2828 of the family's 2925-position model. The record is from RNAcentral. Lineage: Bacteria; Pseudomonadati; Pseudomonadota; Gammaproteobacteria; Enterobacterales; Enterobacteriaceae.
CGGGACACGUGGUAUCCUGUCUGAAUAUGGGGGGACCAUCCUCCAAGGCUAAAUACUCCUGACUGACCGAUAGUGAACCAGUACCGUGAGGGAAAGGCGAAAAGAACCCCGGCGAGGGGAGUGAAAAAGAACCUGAAACCGUGUACGUACAAGCAGUGGGAGCACAGAGCAAUCUGUGUGACUGCGUACCUUUUGUAUAAUGGGUCAGCGACUUAUAUUCUGUAGCAAGGUUAACCGAAUAGGGGAGCCGAAGGGAAACCGAGUCUUAACCGGGCGUUAAGUUGCAGGGUAUAGACCCGAAACCCGGUGAUCUAGCCAUGGGCAGGUUGAAGGUUGGGUAACACUAACUGGAGGACCGAACCGACUAAUGUUGAAAAAUUAGCGGAUGACUUGUGGCUGGGGGUGAAAGGCCAAUCAAACCGGGAGAUAGCUGGUUCUCCCCGAAAGCUAUUUAGGUAGCGCCUCGUGAAUUCAUCUCCGGGGGUAGAGCACUGUUUCGGCAAGGGGGUCAUCCCGACUUACCAACCCGAUGCAAACUGCGAAUACCGGAGAAUGUUAUCACGGGAGACACACGGCGGGUGCUAACGUCCGUCGUGAAGAGGGAAACAACCCAGACCGCCAGCUAAGGUCCCAAAGUCAUGGUUAAGUGGGAAACGAUGUGGGAAGGCCCAGACAGCCAGGAUGUUGGCUUAGAAGCAGCCAUCAUUUAAAGAAAGCGUAAUAGCUCACUGGUCGAGUCGGCCUGCGCGGAAGAUGUAACGGGGCUAAACCAUGCACCGAAGCUGCGGCAGCGACACUGUGUGUUGUUGGGUAGGGGAGCGUUCUGUAAGCCUGUGAAGGUGUGCUGUGAGGCAUGCUGGAGGUAUCAGAAGUGCGAAUGCUGACAUAAGUAACGAUAAAGCGGGUGAAAAGCCCGCUCGCCGGAAGACCAAGGGUUCCUGUCCAACGUUAAUCGGGGCAGGGUGAGUCGACCCCUAAGGCGAGGCCGAAAGGCGUAGUCGAUGGGAAACAGGUUAAUAUUCCUGUACUUGGUGUUACUGCGAAGGGGGGACGGAGAAGGCUAUGUUGGCCGGGCGACGGUUGUCCCGGUUUAAGCGUGUAGGCUGGUUUUCCAGGCAAAUCCGGAAAAUCAAGGCUGAGGCGUGAUGACGAGGCACUACGGUGCUGAAGCAACAAAUGCCCUGCUUCCAGGAAAAGCCUCUAAGCAUCAGGUAACAUCAAAUCGUACCCCAAACCGACACAGGUGGUCAGGUAGAGAAUACCAAGGCGCUUGAGAGAACUCGGGUGAAGGAACUAGGCAAAAUGGUGCCGUAACUUCGGGAGAAGGCACGCUGAUAUGUAGGUGAAGUCCCUCGCGGAUGGAGCUGAAAUCAGUCGAAGAUACCAGCUGGCUGCAACUGUUUAUUAAAAACACAGCACUGUGCAAACACGAAAGUGGACGUAUACGGUGUGACGCCUGCCCGGUGCCGGAAGGUUAAUUGAUGGGGUCAGCGCAAGCGAAGCUCUUGAUCGAAGCCCCGGUAAACGGCGGCCGUAACUAUAACGGUCCUAAGGUAGCGAAAUUCCUUGUCGGGUAAGUUCCGACCUGCACGAAUGGCGUAAUGAUGGCCAGGCUGUCUCCACCCGAGACUCAGUGAAAUUGAACUCGCUGUGAAGAUGCAGUGUACCCGCGGCAAGACGGAAAGACCCCGUGAACCUUUACUAUAGCUUGACACUGAACAUUGAGCCUUGAUGUGUAGGAUAGGUGGGAGGCUUUGAAGUGUGGACGCCAGUCUGCAUGGAGCCGACCUUGAAAUACCACCCUUUAAUGUUUGAUGUUCUAACGUGGACCCGUGAUCCGGGUUGCGGACAGUGUCUGGUGGGUAGUUUGACUGGGGCGGUCUCCUCCUAAAGAGUAACGGAGGAGCACGAAGGUUGGCUAAUCCUGGUCGGACAUCAGGAGGUUAGUGCAAUGGCAUAAGCCAGCUUGACUGCGAGCGUGACGGCGCGAGCAGGUGCGAAAGCAGGUCAUAGUGAUCCGGUGGUUCUGAAUGGAAGGGCCAUCGCUCAACGGAUAAAAGGUACUCCGGGGAUAACAGGCUGAUACCGCCCAAGAGUUCAUAUCGACGGCGGUGUUUGGCACCUCGAUGUCGGCUCAUCACAUCCUGGGGCUGAAGUAGGUCCCAAGGGUAUGGCUGUUCGCCAUUUAAAGUGGUACGCGAGCUGGGUUUAGAACGUCGUGAGACAGUUCGGUCCCUAUCUGCCGUGGGCGCUGGAGAACUGAGGGGGGCUGCUCCUAGUACGAGAGGACCGGAGUGGACGCAUCACUGGUGUUCGGGUUGUCAUGCCAAUGGCACUGCCCGGUAGCUAAAUGCGGAAGAGAUAAGUGCUGAAAGCAUCUAAGCACGAAACUUGCCCCGAGAUGAGUUCUCCCUGACCCUUUAAGGGUCC